CUUUAAUGAAAACUUAGGAAUACAUAACGAAAACUCAACCAAAUGAAGAACUUAUAUAGAAAAUAACUAAUUGUUCCAUUUAUAUUUUAGACGUUACAUGCUUUAGUUGAAUCGACUACUAUAGUAACAUUAAUUUAUUUAUUUAAUUUUAUUUUUGAACUAUAU
Long non-coding RNA from Teleopsis dalmanni, 165 nucleotides. RefSeq lists it as uncharacterized. The transcript has 3 exons. NCBI's taxonomy places the organism in Eukaryota, Metazoa, Arthropoda, Insecta, Diptera, Diopsidae. The record is from RefSeq and is a predicted model, not a curated record.